This 253-nucleotide ribosomal RNA is filed under the name uncultured bacterium. Its description in RNAcentral is "partial 16S ribosomal RNA". It matches the Rfam family "Bacterial small subunit ribosomal RNA", at positions 524 to 776 of the family's 1533-position model. The record is from RNAcentral.
UACGGAGGGUGCAAGCGUUAAUCGGAAUUACUGGGCGUAAAGCGCAUGCAGGCGGUUGGAUAAGUUAGAUGUGAAAGCCCCCGGCUCAACCUGUGAAUUGCAAUUAAAACUGUCCAGCUAGAGUCUUUUAGAAGGGGGUAGAAUUCCAGGUGGAGCGGUGAAAUGCUUAGAUAUCUGGAGGAAUACCGAUGGCGAAGGCGGCCCCCUGGACCAAGACUGACGCUCAGGUGCGAAAGCGUGGGGAGCAAACAGG